This 333-nucleotide long non-coding RNA is filed under the name Gossypium barbadense (sea-island cotton). RNAcentral's name for it is "long non-coding RNA (GBAR_LNC019671)". Lineage: Eukaryota; Viridiplantae; Streptophyta; Magnoliopsida; Malvales; Malvaceae. The record is from RNAcentral.
AAGAAUUGAUCAAAUACAAAGGGUUUCAAGUUGCCCCUGCCGAGCUCGAAGCAAUGCUCAUUGCUCACCCUGAAAUCAUCGAUGCUGCUGUCGUCGCGUAAGUUUUAAUAACCCCGAAAGUAUUAGUCUCUAUGAACAGGAAAAAAAUUGUUUUAACAUCAAAGCUUACUUUGAUUUCAGAAUGAAGGAUGAAGCAGCUGGGGAAGUACCUGUUGCAUUUGUGGUGAGAUCAGAUAAAUCUCAGAUCAGUGAAGAUGAAAUCAAGCAAUAUAUUUCGAAACAGGUGGUGUUCUAUAAGAGAAUAAGCCGUGUGUUCUUCAUUGAAGCCAUUCC